AAAGCUAACAUCUAAAAUAU
Molecule: small nuclear RNA, 20 nt
Filed under: Arabidopsis thaliana (thale cress)
Lineage: Eukaryota; Viridiplantae; Streptophyta; Magnoliopsida; Brassicales; Brassicaceae
Description: snRNA_09538
Source: RNAcentral